UAUGGUCAAGUGAAGAAGCGCAUACGGUGGAUGCCUUGGCAGUCAGAGGCGAUGAAAGACGUGGUAGCCUGCGAAAAGCUUCGGGGAGUCGGCAAACAGACUUUGAUCCGGAGAUGUCUGAAUGGGGGAACCCAGCCAUCAUAAGAUGGUUACCUUACACUGAAUACAUAGGUGUAUGGAGCGAACCAGGGGAACUGAAACAUCUAAGUACCCUGAGGAAAAGAAAUCAACCGAGAUUCCCUUAGUAGUGGCGAGCGAACGGGGACUAGCCCUUAAGUGGCUUUGAGAUUAGCGGAACGCUCUGGAAAGUGCGGCCAUAGUGGGUGAUAGCCCUGUACGCGAAAAUCUCUUAGUCAUGAAAUCGAGUAGGACGGAGCACGAGAAACUUUGUCUGAAUAUGGGGGGACCAUCCUCCAAGGCUAAAUACUACUGACUGACCGAUAGUGAACUAGUACCGUGAGGGAAAGGCGAAAAGAACCCCGGAGAGGGGAGUGAAAUAGAUCCUGAAACCGUAUGCGUACAAGCAGUGGGAGCCCACUUUGUUGGGUGACUGCGUACCUUUUGUAUAAUGGGUCAGCGACUUAUUUUCAGUGGCGAGCUUAACCGAAUAGGGGAGGCGUAGCGAAAGCGAGUCUUAAUAGGGCGUCUAGUCGCUGGGAAUAGACCCGAAACCGGGCGAUCUAUCCAUGGGCAGGUUGAAGGUUGGGUAACACUAACUGGAGGACCGAACCGACUACCGUUGAAAAGUUAGCGGAUGACCUGUGGAUCGGAGUGAAAGGCUAAUCAAGCUCGGAGAUAGCUGGUUCUCCUCGAAAGCUAUUUAGGUAGCGCCUCAUGUAUCACUGUAGGGGGUAGAGCACUGUUUCGGCUAGGGGGUCAUCCCGACUUACCAAACCGAUGCAAACUCCGAAUACCUACAAGUGCCGAGCAUGGGAGACACACGGCGGGUGCUAACGUCCGUCGUGAAAAGGGAAACAACCCAGACCGUCAGCUAAGGUCCCAAAGUUAUGGUUAAGUGGGAAACGAUGUGGGAAGGCUUAGACAGCUAGGAGGUUGGCUUAGAAGCAGCCACCCUUUAAAGAAAGCGUAAUAGCUCACUAGUCGAGUCGGCCUGCGCGGAAGAUGUAACGGGGCUCAAACCAUACACCGAAGCUACGGGUAUCACGUAAGUGAUGCGGUAGAGGAGCGUUCUGUAAGCCUGUGAAGGUGAGUUGAGAAGCUUGCUGGAGGUAUCAGAAGUGCGAAUGCUGACAUGAGUAACGACAAUGGGUGUGAAAAACACCCACGCCGAAAGACCAAGGUUUCCUGCGCAACGUUAAUCGACGCAGGGUUAGUCGGUCCCUAAGGCGAGGCUGAAAAGCGUAGUCGAUGGAAAACAGGUUAAUAUUCCUGUACUUCUGGUUAUUGCGAUGGAGGGACGGAGAAGGCUAGGCCAGCUUGGCGUUGGUUGUCCAAGUUUAAGGUGGUAGGCUGAGAUCUUAGGUAAAUCCGGGAUCUUAAGGCCGAGAGCUGAUGACGAGUCGUCUUUUAGACGACGAAGUGGUUGAUGCCAUGCUUCCAAGAAAAGCUUCUAAGCUUCAGGUAACCAGGAACCGUACCCCAAACCGACACAGGUGGUUGGGUAGAGAAUACCAAGGCGCUUGAGAGAACUCGGGUGAAGGAACUAGGCAAAAUGGCACCGUAACUUCGGGAGAAGGUGCGCCGGUGAGGGUGAAGGACUUGCUCCGUAAGCUCAUGCCGGUCGAAGAUACCAGGCCGCUGCGACUGUUUAUUAAAAACACAGCACUCUGCAAACACGAAAGUGGACGUAUAGGGUGUGACGCCUGCCCGGUGCCGGAAGGUUAAUUGAUGGGGUUAGCUAACGCGAAGCUCUUGAUCGAAGCCCCGGUAAACGGCGGCCGUAACUAUAACGGUCCUAAGGUAGCGAAAUUCCUUGUCGGGUAAGUUCCGACCUGCACGAAUGGCGUAACGAUGGCGGCGCUGUCUCCACCCGAGACUCAGUGAAAUUGAAAUCGCUGUGAAGAUGCAGUGUAUCCGCGGCUAGACGGAAAGACCCCGUGAACCUUUACUAUAGCUUUGCACUGGACUUUGAAUUUGCUUGUGUAGGAUAGGUGGGAGGCUUUGAAGCGUGGACGCCAGUUCGCGUGGAGCCAACCUUGAAAUACCACCCUGGCAACUUUGAGGUUCUAACUCAGGUCCGUUAUCCGGAUCGAGGACAGUGUAUGGUGGGUAGUUUGACUGGGGCGGUCUCCUCCUAAAGAGUAACGGAGGAGUACGAAGGUGCGCUCAGACCGGUCGGAAAUCGGUCGUAGAGUAUAAAGGCAAAAGCGCGCUUGACUGCGAGACAGACACGUCGAGCAGGUACGAAAGUAGGUCUUAGUGAUCCGGUGGUUCUGUAUGGAAGGGCCAUCGCUCAACGGAUAAAAGGUACUCCGGGGAUAACAGGCUGAUACCGCCCAAGAGUUCAUAUCGACGGCGGUGUUUGGCACCUCGAUGUCGGCUCAUCACAUCCUGGGGCUGAAGCCGGUCCCAAGGGUAUGGCUGUUCGCCAUUUAAAGUGGUACGCGAGCUGGGUUUAGAACGUCGUGAGACAGUUCGGUCCCUAUCUGCCGUGGACGUUUGAGAUUUGAGAGGGGCUGCUCCUAGUACGAGAGGACCGGAGUGGACGAACCUCUGGUGUUCCGGUUGUCACGCCAGUGGCAUUGCCGGGUAGCUAUGUUCGGAAUAGAUAACCGCUGAAAGCAUCUAAGCGGGAAACUAGCCUCAAGAUGAGAUCUCACUGGAACCUUGAGUUCCCUGAAGGGCCGUCGAAGACUACGACGUUGAUAGGUUGGGUGUGUAAGCGCUGUGAGGCGUUGAGCUAACCAAUACUAAUUGCCCGUGAGGCUUGACCAUA
RNAcentral lists this ribosomal RNA (2896 nucleotides) under Pseudomonas cedrina. RNAcentral describes it as "bacterial LSU rRNA". It matches the Rfam family "Bacterial large subunit ribosomal RNA". The record is from RNAcentral. Lineage: Bacteria; Pseudomonadati; Pseudomonadota; Gammaproteobacteria; Pseudomonadales; Pseudomonadaceae.